Long non-coding RNA from Physeter macrocephalus (sperm whale), 18830 nucleotides. RefSeq lists it as uncharacterized. The record is from RefSeq and is a predicted model, not a curated record. The transcript is spliced from 13 exons. NCBI's taxonomy places the organism in Eukaryota, Metazoa, Chordata, Mammalia, Artiodactyla, Physeteridae.
UACUUAGAUAGCUUCCAUAUCUUGGCUAUUGUAAAUAAUGGUGCUAUGAACAUUGGGGUGCAUGUAUCUUUUCAAAUUAGUGUUUUCAUUUUCUUCAGAUAUAUAUCCAGGAGUGGAAUUGCUGUAUCAUAUGGCAACUCUGUUUUUAGUUUUUUGUGGAACCUUCAUGUUGUUUUCCACAGUGGCUGCACCAAUUUACAUUCCCACCAACAGUUUGCUAGGGUUCCCUUUUCUCCACAUCCUCACCAGUAUUUGUUAUUUGUGGUUUUCUGUAUGUCUUCUUGGGAAAAAUGUCUAUUCAGGUCUUCUGCCCAUUUUGUAAUCAGGUGGUUUUUUUGGUGUGGAGUUGUAUGAGCUGUUUAUAUAUUUUGGAUGCUAACCCCUCAUUGGUCAUAUCAUUUGCAAAUAUUUUCUCCCAUUCAGUAAGCUGUCUUUUUGUUUUGUUGAUGGUUUCCUGUGCUGUGCAAAAGCUUUUUAAUUAGGUCCCAUUUGUUUAUUUUUGCUUUUGUUUCCUUUGACUUAGGAGACAGAUAAAAAAAAUACUGCUACUAUUUAUGUCAGAGAGUGUUCUGCCUAUGUUUUCUUCUAGGAGUUUUAUGGUUUUGGGUCUUAUAUUUAGGGCUUUAAUCCAUUUUGAGUUUAUUUUUAUUCAUGGUGUGAGAAAAUGUUCUAAUUUCCUUUACAUGUAGCUGCUAGUCCAGUUUUCCCAGCACCAUUUAUUGAAGAGACCGUCUUUUCUCCAUUGUAUAUUCUUGCAUCUUUUGUCGUGGAUUAAUUGACCAUAAGUGCGUGGGUUUGUUUGUUUGUUUGUUUGUUUCUGGGCUCUCUAUUCUGUUCCUUUGAUAUAUGUGUCUGUUUUUAUGCCAGUACCAUACUGUUUUGAUUACUAUAACUUUGUAGUAUAGUCUGAAGUCAGGGAGGGGAUGAUUUCUCCAGCUCUGUUCUUCUUUCUCAAGAUUGUUUUGGAUAUUAGGGGUCCUUUAUGUUUCCAUACAAAUUUUAAGAUUAUUUGUUCUAGCUGUAUGGCAGCUUAGGGAAAAUGGGAAAGGGUUGAAAUAAGUGAAGCACAGGGGAUUAAGAGAGUGAAACUAUUCUGUAUGAUAACUGUAAUUGUGAGCACAUGAUAUUAUGCAUUUGUCAGAAACCCAUAGAACUUUGUAGAAUAAAGAGUGAACCUUAAUGUAUGCAAAUUUUAAAAAUCAUUUAGUAUGUUGGGUAUGCCAGGAUGAAAUGCAGAAUUGUGAUAAAACAAUAUAACUGUGCUACAAAUGUGUUAAACAACGUCACUGAAGGGUGUGGAGGAAAAAAGGUGCUGACCUAAGUAAUCUCAGAAAUGAGUGGAGUCUGUAAGAUUAAAGACAAAAUGAACUGUAUGUAAGCACUCUACCCUAGUUGAUAAUGCUAUGUCCCAGGGGAGUACAGAUUAAUGGUUUUAAUGCCACUAUACAUGCAUACUGAAAGUCAACAAUUAAGUAAAUGCAUGCAUAAUGGUGGGAGCCAAGUUUGGUUGGAGGUUACAGGUAAGUAAAAGGAGGAGGCUGGAAUCAUCCAUGUGAUAGCAGAUUAGAGUUGGAGACAUCAAUAUGGACUCAUGUUAGCUUAAUAUAGACAUAGAUGGUUAUAUAUAGAAAUACUCAUAGAUAUGUGUAUAUACAUGGGUUAGUGUACAUACAUCUGUACUUCCUUGUUCUGUCACCUGAGAGGACCUAGAGGCAAUGACACCCCAGUAGCAAUGAGCAUACCUAGCACCCAGAUCUUGGUUUCUAAUAUUAUUCUCCAACAAAAGGAACCGGAACUUGGAUAAAUGGCUGAUCUUAGGACUAGGGUAGAAAAUAAACAAGAUGAGCCUGGAGCGUCUUAUAGCGCCAAAAAGAAAGUGCUCAGGAAAACAACAACAACGCAGUGAUGGGGAUGUGUCAGAGGGACACAGCCACCUGAAAGAGCUCCCAAUGGCCAAGGCUGGAAAUGGUAAGUAACAAAAUAAAUGAAGUAGCGUAGGGUUGAAACCCAAAGUAGAAAGUAAAUGAGUCCAUACUGAUAUGAAUCAAUUAUUGAAUAAAUAAAUGAAGGAAAAUAGACAAAUUUUCUGUACCAAAGAAUUCUAAAAAUUUUAUGUAGAUCCUAUACCCUCAGGGAGGUGGAAUAGAAUUCCCCAUGUCUUAAGUUGGAGUUGAACAUAGUGACUUAUUUCAAAAGAGUACAGUAUGAGAAAGGGGAGCAAAGAGCAACUUUAUACCAGAGAAACCUGACAACACUCUGUCAGCCAAAUGAUGAGAAUCAGCGUCCAUAGUGAUGUCAUAUUGAUAUACGUACACUUGCUCUCAUGUCCUGAGAAUGGCUGUACCUCUAUGUUCUUCUUCCCCAAGCAUGUAACCCCAGUCCAAUUAUGAGAAAAACAGCUGACAAAUCCCAAUUGAGGGACAUUCUACAAAAUAUCUGACCGGUACUCCUCAAAACCGUCAAGGGCAUAAAAAACAAGGAAAGUCUGUGAAACUGUGACAACCAAGAAGAGCCUAAGGAGACAUGACAACUAAAUGUAAAUCCUAUAUGGGAUCCUGGAAUACAAAAAGGAAAUUAGGAAAAAACUGAGGAAAUAUGAAAAAAGUGUGGACUUUCUUUUUUUUUUUUUUUGUGGUACGCGGGCCUCUCACCGCAGUGGCCUCUCCCGUUGCAGAGCACAGGCUCCGGAUGCGCAGGCUCAGCGGCCAUGGCUCACGGGCACAGCCGCUCCGCGGCAUGUGGGAUCUUCCCGGACCGGGGCACGAACCCGUGUCCCCUGCAUCGGCAGGCGGACUCUCUACCACUGCGCCACCAGGGAAGCCCUGGACUUUAGUUAAUAAUAAUAACGUGUCAAUAUUGGCUCCUUAAUUGUAACAAAUAUACCAUACUAAUGCAAGAUGUUAAUAACUGGGGAAACUGGCGUGUGGAAUAUGGGAAAUCGCUAUGCUAUGUUAGCAAUGUUCCAUAAAUCUAAAGCUGUUCUAAAAUAAAACAUAAAAGAAUUUGCAAUGCCGAGUACUACCCUGAGAUUCUGAUUUAACUUGUCUGGUUUGUAGCCUGACCCUUGGGACUUUAAAAAGCUGCCCAGGUGAUUCUCAUAUGUCACCAGCAAGUCACUGCUCUAAGGGAAGUGAGGGUUUUUACAACCAGCUGCACUUCUUUUUUCCUUUCUACUUAUAAUAAAUGCUCUGACCUUGUCCCUAGUAAAAUAGCAGUGUGACUUAAUGAUUUUGGUUGUUUGAAUAAAGCAGUUCUUUAAAUGUACAGCCAGCAGUAUGGAACUUAGAGGGUGAUAUUUCCCAUUAAAUAAAAGAAUCUUGUCCAAGAAGCUCAAAGUACCAUCAACUGUUUAGGUAAACAGGGUAGGCUAGACUAUGCUGAAUGUAUCAUUGGUUUAAAUCUGUACCUAGUGGCAAUGCCUUUACUUUCUCUCUGCAAUGCUAUGCCAUAUGCCAUGUGUACAUGGAGGUAAACGAUCUGCUAAGUUUUAGGUGCAAAGGUUUGGCUUUAAUUAGACAGGAGGCUUAUUUUCUGGUGUUUGAUUGUGACAAAUGAGGUAAAAGCAUCACGUGCUGGCAAACACAGCUUAAAUGUUCAGGAACUUACAACUGACCUGAGCCAUCAAUGUUUCUCAUGCAGGGAACCUGGCAGCAGGGGUUCCUGGGGAACAUAUCUGGCACUGGCGAUGAUCAUAUCUGGCACUGGCCAAUCAGUGAGGAAGGGAUCCUACUGACCCCAGCCCCCGGACCGACUUCAGUGAAGAGACAGAGACUAAGAGGUGAUGGAGCCCUGGUUCCUCAUGCACAGACAAUUAUGGUACUUAACUUGGAACUGCAGAAAGCUUUGGUUCACGCACCUGAAAAGCUAAAGCCGACCCGGAAGUUAUGCUUAGAGAAGAAAAAGAGGGAAGAGCCUCUUAGGUAACUUGAAGAGCAUAAAGGAUCCAAUGAUAAAAACCACUGCCCUGAAGUGACAUGUGCUACUUCUGGGCUGAGGAUUAAACUGCUGACAUGACACCCUCAGGAUCUCUCUUUUUCUCCUCCGCCAUCACAUCCAAAAAUUCUGCAGAGUGGAUGCUUCAUCAGCAUGGGUUUGGAGCUAAGAUGAUGAUGAUACUGAGAAGAGCCUGGGGCGGACUCAUUAUGAAAAGUAAACUUUUAUUGUUUUAAGCCACUGAAGAAAACAAAAAACACUGCCCUGAACUUUCCAAGGUGUAAUAAAUCUCUCUGCAUAAGGCUCUCCAGUCAUUGCCAAGACAGAUCCUGCACUGGGAGCCAUGUGGAAAGAAGACUGGAUUGGAAAUCAGAUUCGGGGUCCUGCUGGGGUUUCUUCCAGAUGACCCCGCCAAUCAGACAUCUGGUCUCAUAUUCCACAUAUGAGUGAGAUCAUAUGAUAUUCAUCAUUCUGUGUCUGACUUUCUGCAAUAUGGAUUGACCUAGAGAUUAUCAUACUAAGUGAAGGGGAAUACAUGGCUUUCUCCUCACUUCUUUGCAUUUUUCCAGUGCCUUUGAUUUUGAAAGGACUACCAGAAUGAUGGCUGCAUUUUCAGUGGUGGAAAUUAUUGCUAUGUCUCAGAAGCAAGGAAUCACAGGAUAUCUACUUUCCAGUGGUGAUACAUGACUCUCAUAAAUGAAAGCCACACCAUCAUUUAUAACACCCUAAUGAGUUUUUUUCAUAGAAACAGAACAGAGAUUCCUAAUGUUUCUUGGAACUUCCCAAAAAAAAAGGGGAAGAAAAAAAAAUUCAACUAAAUGCCCGAAUGUUAGCCCAGCAUUGGAAGAGAGCAGCCUUAAAGAAUAAUUGGUCGCUCCUAAGAAACCAUGAAUAUAACAAAAGCUGUCCAAAGAUAUGAAGGAAGAAAGGAUGGUACUUUUUGAUUAUGAGGUGGGGUGACUGGCAGGCAGAAGGUGGAAUCAUCUGAAGGGCGCUCACUCGCGUGUCUGGUGGUUGACGCUGACUGUUGGCUGGGACCAACAUGGGGCUGUGGCUGGAACACCUACAUGUGGCCCUUCACUCGGCUGCUCAUCUUCCCCACAGUAUGGUGGCUGGGUUCCAAAGGUAGUCGCAAAGCUUUGCCCAGGUGCCAAGAGAGGAAAAAAGGACUCUAUCUCUUGAUGGGUAAGUAGCAAGUUCUGCAAGAACAUGUGGCACUGGAAAUACUAACGUGGCCAUUUUUGGAAAAUACAACCUGCCCCAAUAGGUCCUCUCCUUUCUGAUGUGGUCUGUACUACAUAUCUACAGAGCAAAUAUGGAAAAUUGCUCAGAUCCUCUUGGCUGCCCUGCUGAAUACUGAAGACAACCAUGAGACAUUUCAUUUUAGCUCAGUCAACAUUUUAUUCUUCAGAAGUUUGGUAAAGACUUGAAACUUUUUCCAGUCCGUCCUCUCCCAUCAGUACAACGCCAAAGUAACAAAAGGAGCAAGAAUCGAGGAAGUGUGGAAAGUGCAUGCGUGGAGGAUGGAAGACUUUCUCUGAUUUUGCCAAAAGGAGAGAAUGAGAACAUGAUAAAUAAGGCAGAAGAAGAAGUGCUUUGACUGGACGUUUCGAAACCAUAUCUCCCUCUUCCCCUGCAUUUUGAAUGGGGCUCCGUGUACAUCUGAAACCUGGAAGUUGGUCAUGACUUUUUCUGCAGUGUCUUAAAGGAGCAAAAAAAAUGAUGGAUCAGCUGCUUACAAUCACUUUAUUUCCAGUAUUUUAAAAUUGGUUUGGUUAUUACAGAAGAUUGAGCAGAGUCCCCUGUGCUGUACAGCAGGUCCUUGUUGGUUUUCUACGUUAUAUAUAGCAGUGUGUACACGCUCUGCUCCUCUGUCUCCUGCAUACCCACUGCCCAGACUUCCUGCAUCCUUCUCCAGGACACUUCAGGGAGAGAAGGAGGAGAGCUCGAAGGAGUGGAACUCCACAGCAAUGUAGUCCACCCCGCACUUCACCCUUGGAAACUCCUUGAGAAAUGAAAUUCAUUUCUUCCAAUCCCAGGUCUGUCUUUUUUUAACCAGUUUUUCUCAGUCGGUCGGUACGGAAAAGUACAUUAAUAAAAGGAAAUUAACAAGGUCCUUCAAUCAACUACUAUUUCAUUAUUUGCUUUGUAAGAGAAAAUAUUGAAUAGUCUAUGGUUCUUGCCUCCAAGAAACUUGCAAUCUGCUCCAACCUUUGUAGGUAUGGAGGAUGGAGAAAUGGCUUGAAUUUAUAAAGGAAGGAAUUUAGAGCAAUAAGGAAGAACAUAUAAGGAAAACUAGUAAUAGUAUUAUCCCUAUUUUCCUGAUGAUAAAAAUAAAGCUUAGAGAGAUUAUGUGACUUAGCAGAGCUUACUCAAGUAGAAACUAGUAAAGUUAAACAGUUCAAAACUCUGGUUCCAGUUUCAAAGAUCACAUAUUCUCUACUGCACUUGCUGGUGGUCUCCAAACCUGACUAAUGCAGGUUUCUAGUUUCAACUACUUAACAUAUUGACAUCCUUCUGUGUACUACAUGCACAUAGAAAUGCUGGAUAAAAUAUAACAAAACUAUUUUAUAUACAUUGCCAGGGAAGAAAGAGAGGGAGAGAGAGAGGAAAUUGUUACAGGCCAAAAAGAAAGAAGAAUCUCAUAACCAAUAUGGUAAGUGCAUGAGCUGAUGCCAGAACAAAACAGAGGAUAUCAGACAUGGCUAUAUGACCUAACAGCUAGGGGUUGUGGUUUUUAACACAUGUCUAGAACAGAAGACUUGCCUUUGGGCCUGUGAAAGGUGAGAAGUCGGAACUGACAUUCAUGCAUAAAGCUAGGACCGAGGAAAAGCUGCUCCCACCAUAUAAGGGGACUAUGAAACAUCGUUCACUUUCUACAAACGCAACUGGCAAAAUUCUCACUGAUUAGCUAUCUGGAUGGGAAAAAGUUCCACACAAUAAAUGGCAAUUUAAAAAUCUGUUAUGCACAGGUGUAGAAUCCAAAUUUUAGACUGUUUUCAUAGUAUAGGAAUCCCAAAUGGAGAUAUUUAGGUAGAUACGGGAAAUAGACCAGUGAAACUCCUGGAAUCCUCAAAUGUAAGACUUCUCUGAAUGGUUACCACCAAAUCUUACAGUACAUACAGGGAUUCCACAGGGAAAUAUAACCUAGCCGAAAAUAUGCUCACAAUUAAAAAGUACAGAUUAAGUAAGAAAGUGCUUCACAACAUGGGAGAGUCAGCAGGUACAUGUGGGAGGAAUAGCACCACAAGAACCUGAGAUAUAAUGAUCAAAAGCUAUCUGUAAAUUAAGUAUAUUUACCAUCAUUGAAGAGAUAAAGGGAGAAAUAAAAACCCUCAUAAAAAAAACCAGGGCAUUAAAAAAGAACAAGCAGAUAUGAAACACAACCCAAUAGAACGAUUCAAAAUGAAAAGUUGUGAAUAAAAUUAAACACAAUGACCAAUUUAAGAGCAGAUUGGGACAGUUAGUUAUAGAGAGAAUUGAUGAUAUGAAAGAAGUACCUGAGAAGAUUACCCAGAGGGAGAUAAAGAGAUGAAACUCAAAAGAGAGGUUAGGAGAAAUGGGUGAUUAAAUUAGAAGUUUCAAUUUGGGUCUAAUGGGAAUUUCAGAAGGAGAAAAUGGGGAAGGGGCAAUAUUUUAAGUGAAAAUGGCUAUGAAUUUUUCAGAACUAAGAAAAGCCAUGAAACCUCAGACUGAAGAACCACACCGAGUCUUGCACAAUGUAGAAAUCCACUGCUAAUCCUGUGAAGACUGCAACACUGAAGAAAAACAAACUCUAGUUGAAAAGCAAGUAGAGAGAAAAGACAGAUAACAUGCAAAGGAACAAUCAUUAGAAUAAUAGAGGAUAUCAAUGAAAUAGGGACCAGAAGACAAUUCUCACUUAUCAUCAGAAUCACUUGAGAAGGACAUUAAACUACCGUAUUAUGGUUUUACCCCAGAUGCUUUGGAUGUUGUUCAGGAAUGUGCAUUUUAAAAAGCUUCUCAGGGGCUUCCCUGGUGGCGCAGUGGUUGAGAGUCCGCCUGCCGAUGCAGGGGACACGGGUUCGUGCCCCAGUCCAGGAAGAUCCCACAUGCCGCGGAGCGGCUGGGCCUGUGAGCCAUGGCCGCUGAGCCUGUGCUUCCAGAGCCUGUGCUCCGCAACGGGAGAGGCCCGCGUACCACACACACACACACAAAAUAAUAAAUAAAUAAAAAGCUUCUCAGGUCAUCAAGUACGUUUAAAACCCUCUUUCCUUGGCACCAAAUACAUAAACACAUACAUACAUUCGUAUGCUCACACACAUUGUUCUCUGCUGUAUUUUAGUGAGAUUACCCCUAAAAAGAAAAAUGGAGAGGUUGGAUCCGUAACUAAGAAUCCAUGCUAAAUGGUGCCAGAAGAUGAUCCCAAAAGAACAAGGCAAAGGAGUUAGUACAAGUAUCUCUGACCUCCGAAAUAUUUUCCCAUUUCUGUCUUCUCCAGUGUACAUAUGACUAGAACCAGAGGGCACAUCAUUCUGCCUCAUACCUUCAGAAUCCUGGGUGUGUGUUUGAUGAGACUAAUGAAUGUUCCAAAUUUUCAGAGUAUUUGGCAAGACAUGCUUUCUUUCUUACUUGGUAUAUCAUAUUAAAUACAAAAGAAACCUUAACCCACCAAUAUAAGAAAUUCAGUCGACCUUUGUGGACAUCUGUUUUCAGAUUAGUGGUUGUUUAACUCUUAUAAUAAAGGCUAACUCUACAUUAAAGUAAUGCUGAGUGUAAUUAUAAUAGUUACAAUAGCCCUACUUUUGGAACUAAUAGCACCACUUCUAGGAAUUUAACCUAAAUACCCAAACACAAAAAAAACCACAUACACAAACAAAGAAAACUGCAGGCCAAUAUCACUGAAGAACAUAGGCGCAAAAAUCCUCAACAAAAUACUAGCAAACCGAAUCCAACAAUACAUUAAAAGGAUCAUACACCAUGAUCAAGUGGGAUUUAUCCCAGGGAUGCAAGGAUUUUUCAAUAUCCGCAAAUCACUCAGUGUGAUACACUGCAUCAACAAAUUGAAGAAUAAAAACAAUAUGAUCAUCUCAAUAGAUACAGAAAAAGCUUUUGACAAAAUUCAACACCCAUUUAUGCUUAAAAUGCUCCAGAAAGUGGGCACAGAGGAAACCUACCUCAACAUGAUAAAGGCCAUAUAUGACAAACCCACAGCUAACAUCAUUCUCAAUGGUGAAAAACUGAAAGCAUUUCCUCUAAGAUCAGGAACAAGACAAGGAUGUCCACUCUCACCACUGUUAUUCAACAUAGUUUUGGAAGUCCUAGCCACGGCAGUCAGAGAAGAAAAAGAAAUAAAAGGAAUACAAACUGGAAAAGAAGAAGUAAAACUGUCACUGUUUGCAGAUAACAUGAUACUAUACAUAGAGAAUCCUAAAGAUGCUACCAGAAAACUACUAGAGCUAAUCAAUGAUUUGGUAACGUUGCAGGAUACAAAAUUAAUACACAGAAAUCUGUUGCAUUUCUAUACACUAAAGGUCAGAAAGAGAAAUUAAGGAAACAAUCCCAUUUACUAUGGCAUCAAAAAGUAUAAAAUACCUAAGAAUAAACCUACUUAAGAAGACAAAAGACCUGUACUCUGAAAACUAUAAGAUGCUGAUGAAAGUAAUCGAAGAUGACACAAACAGAUGGAAAGAUAUACCAAUGUUCUUGGGUUGGAAGCAUCAAUAUUGUCAAAAUGACUAUACUCACCAAGGCAAUCUACAGAUUCGGUGCAAUCCUUAUCAAAUUACCAAGGGCAUUUUUCACAGAACUAGAACAAAACAUUUUAAAAUUUGCAUGGGAACACAGAAGACCCCAAAUUGCCAAAGCAAUCCUGAGAUAGAAAAACGGAGCUGGAGGAAUCAUAUUCCCUGAUUUCAGGCUAUACUAGCAAGCUACAGUCAUCAAAACAAUAUGGUACUAGCACAAAAACAGAAAUAUAGAUCAAUGGAACAGGACAGAAAGCCCAGAAAUAAACCCACACACCUAUGGUCAAUUAAUCUACAACAAAGGAGGCAAGACUAUACAAUGGAGAAAAGACAGUCUCUUCAAUAAAUGGUGCUGGGAAAACUGGACAGUUACAUGUAAAAAAAUGAAAUUAGAACAUCUCUAACAACAUGCACAAAAAUAAACUCAAAAUGGAUUAAAGACCUAAAUGUAAGGCCAGCUGCUAUAAAACGCUUAGAGGAAAACAAAGGCAGAACACUCUUUGAUAUAAAUCGCAGCAGUAUGUUUUUGGAUCCACCUCUUAAUCAAAAUAAAAACAAAAAUAAACCAACGGGACCUGAUUGAACUUAAAAGCUUUUAAGCCAUAAACAAAAUGAAAAGACAACCCACACAAUGGGAGAAAAUAUUUGCAAACAAGGCAACUGAAAAGGGAUUAAUCUCCAAAAUGUAAAACAGCUCACGCAGCUCUAUAUCAAAAAAAAAAAACACACAACCAAUCAAAAAAAUGGGCAUAUGAACUAAAUAGAUAUCUCUCCAAAGAAGACAUACAGAUGGCCAAAAAGUACAUGAAGAGAUGCUCAACAUCACUAAUUAUUAGAGAAAAGCAAAUCAAAACUACAGUGAGAUAUCACCUCACAUGUGUCAGAAUGGCCAUCAUCAAAAAAUCAACAAACAAUAAAUGCUGGAGAAGGUGUGGAGAAAUGGGGACCCUACUACACUGUUGGUGGGAAUGUAAAUUGGUACAGUCACUAUGGAGAAUGGUAUGGAGGUUCCUUAAAAUACUAAAAAUAAAACUACCUCUGAUCCAGCAAUCCCACUCCUGGGCGUAUAUCUGGAGAAAACCAUAAUUUGAAAAGGUACAUGUACCCCAAUGUUCACUGCAGCACUAUUUACAAAAGCAAAGACAUGGAAGCAACCUAAAUGUCCAUCAAGAGAUGAAUGGAUAAAGAAGAAGAUGUGCAUAUACACGAUAGAAUAUUACUCAGCCAUAAAAAAGAAUGAAAUAAUGCCAUUUGCAGCAACAUGGAUGGACCUAGAGAUGAUCAUACUAAGUGAACUAAGUCAGACAGAGAAAGACAAAUAUCAUAUGAUAUCACUUACAUGUGAAAUCUAAAAAAAAUAAUACAAAUGAACUUAUUUAUAAAACAGAAACAGGGCUUCCCUGGUGGCGCAAUGGUUGAGAGUCCGCCUGCCGAUGCAGGGAACACAGGUUCGUGCCCCGGUCCGGGAGGAUCCCACAUGCCGCGGAGCGGCUGGGCCCGUGAGCCAUGGCCGCUGAGCCUGCGCGUCCGGAGCCUGUGCUCCACAGCAAGAGAGGCCACAACAGUGAGAGGCCCGCAUACCACAAAAAAAAAAAACAAAAAAAAAACAGAAACAGAUUCACAGACUUCGAAAACAAACUUAUGGUUACCAAAGGGAAAACGUGGGUGGGAGGGAUAAAUUAGCAGUUUGGGAUUAACAUAUAUACACUACUAUGUAUAAAAUAGAUAAUCAACUAGGACCUACUUUAUAGCAGCGGGAGUUCUACUCAAUAUUCUGUAAUAACCUAUAUGGAAAAAGAAUCUGAAAAAGAAUGGAUAUAUGUAUACAUAUAACUGAAUCACUUUGCUGUACACCUGAAACUAACAACAUUGUAAAUCAACUAUACUCCAAUAUAAAGUAAAAAUUAAAUUAAAAAGCCUAUAUAUUCAAAGAUAUUCAUUCCAGCAUUAUAUAGAUAUAUGUGGAAAUCUGCAAGUCUCCAGAACGGACAGAGGGCACUAAGAUCUUGGCAAAUAGUUUCAGACACAUGUAGAAAUGCAUUUGCUUUUUGGCUUGAACUCCUUACAUAUAUAUUUGUCUUUCCCUUUUCGAUAGAAAAUGCUUAGAUAAAUAAUGCUAUAUCCACAUGACAGAACUAUGCCAGUUUAAAAAUUGUGUUUGAACAGGUGGCUUACAAAAGAAAUAAAAAUGUACCACAAACAGAGAUAUUUAACCUUAUUAGUAUUAAAGGAAAUAAUAAAAUUUCCUUUUCACUCAUCUGAUAAAAAUUAGUUUAAGAAAAAAAAGAUCGAUAAUACCCAGUGUUGGUGAAAUUGUGGAGAAAUGGGCAUAGCUUUGCCGUUGGUAGUCUAAUUUAGUACAUAGCUUCUAGACAGAAAGUUGGUAAUAUGUAAACAAAGUCUUAAUUCUUUUUUUUUUUUGCUCAGCAAAUCCAUAUAGAAAUAUAUUUUUUUAAAAAUUGAACAAGUGUAACAUUGUUUAUAUUAUGUAAAAAUUGGGAACAACUUAAAUAUCCCCAAAUAGGAACUAAUAAAAUAUGGUGCUAUACAAUGGAAUCUAGUUAGCAAAAAUAUAAUAUAUAGGUAAUAAUAAAAAAUGAAAAAUAGGUGAAAUAUUAUAAUUUUGUUAAAUUAUAGAUCAGAGCACAAAAAAUGCCAAGAAAGAGUUGUACUAAGAAUUGGUAAUGAUUAUCUCUGGGUGGUUGGAACUUAUGGUUAGUUUUCUUUUUUGCAUAGUAUUACUUAUAAAUUUUGCAAUGAAAUUUUAUUUUUUUUUAACAAAAAUAAGAUACAACGUUUUGUUCAUAAAAAUUUUUAGUAUGAGAUAAUACCCAUUAUGGCAAAGAGAUUACAACUAUGUUCAAUUAAAAGAAUAAAGAAUAUAAAUAAAGGAAAAAAAAGGAGGAAGGACUGAAAACUCUCUCCUAAUAGUUUUCUUUGGCCAGUGAAACAUGGGGCAAAUGUUUUCUACUUUUGACUUUUUCAUAUUUUCUAAUAUAUUACCAAUUUUAUUCUUAGAAGAACGAGUAGGAAAUAUAUUUUUUAAAAAUAAAAUUGAACUUAAUAAAGUAAUCAGCAUCUUUCCAUCAUAUUUUACACACCUCUCUGCUCUGUGAAAUGUCCAUACUGAGUCCUAAUGCCAAGUUUCUGGGCUCCAACCAGGCCACUACAUCAGAUAAAGCACGCUCUCUGGUCCCUUUCCAACUCCUUGGUUCUUCCUCUCCAGUCCUGCCUUCGCCGAGCCACCUGAAUGAACUGAUCUUGUCACUCCAUGGCCCUUGAAUCUUCUGUGGCUUCCCAUCACAUUCAGGAUACUAUAUGUAUUCCUUGGAUGGCUAGCCGGGUCCUUCGUGAUAUGCCCCCAACUUACCUAGUUAGCCCUCACUGUCACCACAGACUUCCCACCUUCCGCUGUUGCUCUAACACACUGUAUUUGGACUUGACCUGCUUUCUCACUUGCCUCUGCUUUUGCACAGGUUGUUCCCUUGCCUUCUCCGCUUGGUCCGCCCCGUCAACGCCUCCUUGUCUUUCAAAACUCAAUUUGAGUGUCAUCUCUACUGAGAGAAACCUUUUCUGCCUCUCCCUCUCACCUCCCUUGUCCCCCCAUUCAGUCCCAGGCUCUCUCACACAUGACCCCUACAAACAGCUAAGAGUAUUUGCUGGCCCAUCUCUGUCCUUGAUUGGGUCUUGAGGUCCUUGCAAGCAAGGGCUGGGUUUUUUUGUGACUUUAUUCCAGUGCCUAGCCUACUUUCAUCGUUUCCAGUCAAUAGCAAGCACUCAAAAAUAUAUCCAGUAAAAAUUUCACUCUUGGGUAUAAUCCCAACAUAUGCAAGACAUGUACAAGAAUGUUCAAAGCAGCAUUUUCUGGAUUAGUCCCAAACAGUAAAUAACCCAAAUGUCUCGUAACCAUAGAAUGGGUAAGUAAAUCAUGGCAUUUUAAAGAAAUAAAUCCUAUACAACAGUGAGACUGACUGACUGAAUAUUGGGAAUGAAUUUCACAAACGUAAUGUUGAGUGAAGGAAGCCAGAAAUAAAUGAUGUGUAAUUCCAUUUAUAUAAGCUCAAAAAGCAGGUAAAAGUUAUAUAUGGUGUUAGAAAUCAUGAGAAUGGUUACUCUCAAAUGUACAGGGUAACUGAUAGAAGGGGCAUCUGGGACCCCAGUAGUGUCUACAUCUUGAUCUGGGUGCUGUCUGUGGAGUUUUCAUCCAGCUGUAUGUUUAUGAUUUGUGCAUGUAUCUGUCUCUCAUAUUUUAAUAAAAAUUUUAAUUUAGAAAAGUUCCCUUUGUGAAACAUGUUUGUGGCAUUAAGGACAGUGACAAAUGGGCAGUGUAGGUUUGACUCAAAUGAAUUUCCAGCUUGACUGAUGCUCUUUUCCCCACUCAGAGCAGUGUUUUGUGGCAGAAAGGAAAAUUAAAAAAAAAAAAAAAAAAAAAACGAAAAUCUCUCCCAUACAGAGUUUAGCAUUUGCUUUAAAUGUGAUACUCAAUGGUGUCAGCAGGUGUUAAUUUGGAUAGUUUGACUUCGCCACUUGAAUUUCGGCAAGCUCAAAUAAUUUUAGAGUGAGUCAGGGUAUAAAUAAAUAGCUAUAAUUGGAAUUUCACUCUUUGCUUGCUAUCUUCAUCCUUCUGCUUUUAAGGUUUCUGCCGCCGCUAGGCAUAAGCUUAUUGGCAUGCACACAUCAGUCAAACCUUCCAUAUACUUUGUUGAUUCACAGUUCACUGCUGCAGUUUAAAAUUGGUUUUUUUCCUCUUGGUGUAAGGAUUGUGCUUAAUUAUCGAAAUUAACACCUUUGAGCUGAUAGGGUUUUUUCCCUCCCUUCCAAAUCUUAAGGGCUCUAGAAAUCCCAAACUAUGGGACAUCUUUAAAAACACAUAUUCUUCUCUUUAAACAGAUCAAUGUGGGAAAGGAGCCUUGAACCCUUGUCUCUGAAAUCAUUGCAGCCAUGUUGGCUGUGGCCUUCUGCAGCCUCCACGCUGGAGCCCAUCCAGCCAUCAGUGCGGGAACUCACCGAGUUUCUCUCUCAAGUUCUGUAAUAAAGGCCUUUCAGUGUCUGCACAGAUGGGAAUUCUGCCACCUUCUCAUUUCACAUUUCCUGCACUUUUCUUCCUAAGCACUCUACUGCCCAAAAUAGAAUCACCGUUUUUUAAGUCCAUGUGUAGGAAUUUACAGGGAGAAUGGACAGGGUCUCUGGAGCUCCCUAUAAUUAUCACACCCUGAAGUAAUUUUCCUACUGGCUAUGAGGUAGAUAAAGGAUUCAGAAGGGUGCUCUGAGUGUCUCUCAGAGAACAGCGUGGAUUUUCUUUCGGGGGGAUAGUUGGGGAGGAACCCAUCGCGAGGCAGGGCAUUAGUGCUGACUCUGUGGGCAACAAGGAUACAACAGGACAGGGGCCUAUGCCAGCCCUGCCACCCAUGAACCCCCUUCAUGAGUCCUCUGCUCUCCUGAGGUCUCUUCCUGAUGGGAUAUAUCCUUCCUCUCUACCUUUGUUUUGGGGGUGGGGGGGAGGUGUUCCCAGAGGGAUCAACUCCCCUUACUCCUCUCUGCCUAGUUGAAUUAUCUCCAUCCUUUAAGGUCUUGUUCAAAUCUCACCUCCUCUGGGAAGCCUUCCUGGAUGACUUCAGCUAGAAGUGAUUUCCCCCUUGUUUGAAUUUUUAGAUCUCUUAAUGACUGUACAUUCUGGGGGUGCCCACAUGAAAUAUAAUUUACGGCAAUGAUAAAUAGUAACUGAGUACUUAUGUGCCAGGCACUAUUCUUGCCACUUUACUGAUAUAAAGUCAGAAUCCUUACAAUGACUCCAUAAGUUAGGUGCAUUAUUAUUCCCAUUUUACAGAUGAGGAUCCCAGGGCCCAUAGCGCUAUCGAAACUCCCUCCAUCAGAUUAGAAGCUCCAUUUACCAUCUCUUUGACUUACUGACUUGUCUCUUUUUCAGCACAAGGCUUAGGGACUUGCAGUUGGUAAUUGUUCACCUCAUAUUUUUCCAUUUAAUUUUGUGCUUAAAGGACUUGAGAUCAUGGAAAUAGCAUUUGAAAAUAAUUUCUGUCAUAUAUGCUACCUUUCCAUUUCUGUCAACAUGGAGGAUGGUGCAGUGGAGUAGGUGAGACUGAUAAAAAAAUCGUAAUAAAAGAAAAAAGACCUCAUUUCAUAUGUACUGUACGCCAGGUACUGUGAUAAGUGAUAUAUGUUCACUCUCUUCUCAGCUUUUUCCCCCUCAAAGAUCAGAGACAGGUUGCAAAAUGAUCAGAUAAGUAGAUGAAGGCUUUUUAGCAAAAGGAAUAUGAAUGUAGGAAGUCAAACAGAAUCCUGGGUUCAGUCAUUACCCAAGAAUGCAUGCCCUGAGGACCCUCGUUUGGAGGUGAACCACAAACUUGGCUCUAGGCUUCCUAGUGUUUAUGACAAAAAAGGACACACAAUCAAUUACAACACUCAUAUUGCCUUUAAGAUAAAGACAAACCAGCUAUUCAGAGGAAGCACACAUAAAUGUCACAUCAAAUAAUUUCCUAUUACAAUUCUCAGUGCAGGCCAGUCUCAUUUUGCUGAAGGGCAAAAUGGUAAAAUCCAUUCGAGGAAGAGACAGACUAUAGUGUCUAGCUAUGCAGUCUAAUUUGGUUAAGACACUCAUAGACUGUACACAUUUCAGGAAAUUCUCUCUCAAGUGGGCUCCAUACUAUCUGCUCCAGACAAUUACCUUUCCACCUUCAACUAAAAGCUGAAUAGCAGUUUUGGUUUAACACCUAUGAACACUCUGUAAAACUAGCAUGCCCAGGAACAGAUUUUGGAAAACCUAGUCAUACAGGCAACAUAAAUCUUUAAAAAUUGAGGUUUUCAGUGGGGAAAAUGAAAUGCAAACUCCUUUGCAUGAUUUAUGAUGCUUUUCACAACCCAACCUCAACCUGCUAUUCCAGACCUAAUUUAUUCCCACCCCUCACCCUUCACCAUCUUUGUUUAGCCCAAACUACAUAGAGUUCCAUGAAUAUACUCCAUGCUCUCGCUCAUUGAGACCUCAUAGAUGCUUCCUGAAACAUCCUUUCUUCUCUCCCUUAUCCCCUGGCUUCUCUGCCUACUGGGGCUUGAAGGAUGUCACCUUUUCUGAUUCCACCUAACAAUUAAUCUUACCCUUUACUACGCUUCCAUAGCACUUUGCUUCUAUCACAUUUUAUUAUCCCCUUUUGUUAGCUUCUUUGAUUUUUCUGCCAAACUGUGACCUCCUCCAGGGUGGAAUGUGUCUUGUUUAACUUUUUAUCCUAGCACUGGGGACAGAGUCUGACCUGGAUUUAUUUCAUCAGAUAUUUAUUGAGUGCUUCCUGUACUGACAAAGCUGGGACAAUUUCCAUCCUGUGAUGCUAAGUAAAAAAAGAUGAGUUACUCCAUGGUGACCCAAAUAUGUUUCCACUAUUCUUUGAAGCCAUCCAGUAUUGUAUAGAUGGAUUGCUCAAUAUGGCUUGAUUUAGAAAAGGAUGACCCAGUAAAUAGGUUGAACCACAAACUGAUUCUACUGAACUCUUUUUUUUUUCCUGACUCAGUAUUUCCCAGAUUUGAAAAGCUCCAAAGGAAGCUGCACUUGUAUGUUGCUAUUUAUUCCAAGUGCCUUCUCUUGUUUGUGUAACAUCUGUGAUGCCAAAGAACUUUGGAAAAUUACACUCGGCCUAAGGAUGCAUCACUUCAUCCACCAAUAAAACAUAUGCCCCUUACAAGUCAAACAGAGCCACCAUCCCAGGAGACCUUAAUAAUUUUACUGCACAGCUAAGAGGAGGGUCAGAAAUUUUAAAAAGUUGUCUACUCCUCCAUGAUCUCCUGACAUGAAUAGGAGAUUUAAGAACUAAGUUACCAAAUUUCAUUGUCAAUGAAACAACCUAUUGAAUGGAGGUAUUGUGCAAAUCUGACCUUAUCUCUGGACUUCCAGAGCAUUUAAUCAGCCGUCCAUUACAAAAACCCAUAUUGUGGCCAUUCAGAUCCACAUAAACACUGUGCAAAUAUGAGAAUGUUUCCAUAAAUGGGGUUCCAAAAGUGUGUUGAGCAAGCAAUGGAAGCAUUUUAGAUACAGAAAUCAGAACCAGUAUUGGAAUUUACUUUACAUCAAAUUGUUUAUAUUUAUACUCUAACUAGCCUAACAAAGUUUCUUUUGCUUUGUGAAGUAUAUACUCAAAGUAGAAUGACACUAGUAAUAUUUGUUAAAAAAUGUUAUUUUACUUUAUAGAGGAUGUUCAAUAUAACAGAACAUACAUCUUUCAGCAGAAGGUAGAUCUAGUGGACAAGAAAGAUUAAGUCCAGGACCUUAUAAAUUCACCAUUAUUUUUCUAUUUUUAUUUGCAAAACGUCACCAAAUUUACAUUGAGAGUUAAUUGUAUGCCAGCCUCUUAGUUGGUACCAGAGAAAGAAAGAUGACUAAAAUAUUCUACCCAGGCGGAGCUUAUAGUACAUUAGGGAAGACAGACCAGCAAAGAUACAAUUUCAACAUUAUAUUAUAUAAAUUCUAAGAUGCAGAUACUCAUGAGUGCUAUGGAAACUCAGAGGAAAGGCACUGAGGAGAGGUCAAAGAAAGGCUUCCUGAAGAUGCUGAGUCUUAGAAGGAUGAACAAAGCGAGCACCAUUUAUUAGAUGGAGAAAAAAUGACAAUGAAAUAAGAGCAGUAGGGACCAAAGACAAGAUCUGGGAUAUCCCAUAGAUUAAGGGGUAGGUGGAGGAAAAGGAGACUUGGAAGGGGAUCAAGAAGUGAUGAGAGAGGUAGAAACAGAACCGGGAGAAAAUAGUGCCAGAGAAGUCUGUUGUGGAAAGCAAGAAAUUAUAGACAGCCAAGUACAGAGAAAAAGUAGAGAGAAGACAUCAUUGCUAAUUAUUAGAGAAAUGCAAAUCAAAACUACAGUGAGGUACCACCUCACACUGGUCAGAAUGGCCAUCAUUUUAAAAGUCUGCAAUUAACAAAUGCUGGAGACAGUGUGGCGAAAUGGGAACCCUCUUACACUGUUGGUGGGAAUGUAAAUUGGUGCAGCCACUAUGGAGAACAGUAUGGAGAUUCCUGAAAAGACUAAAAAUAGAGUUGCCGUAUGAUCCAGCUAUCUCACUCCUGGGCAUAUGCACAGACAAAACUACAAUUCAAAAAGAUAUAUGUAUCCCUAUGUUCACAGCAGCACUACUUAACAAUAGCCAAGACAUGGAAACAGCCUAAAUGUCCAUCAACAGAUGAAUGGAUAAAGAAGA